This 239-nucleotide ribosomal RNA is filed under the name uncultured Lactobacillus sp. RNAcentral's name for it is "partial 16S ribosomal RNA". It matches the Rfam family "Bacterial small subunit ribosomal RNA", at positions 123 to 354 of the family's 1533-position model. The record is from RNAcentral. Lineage: Bacteria; Bacillati; Bacillota; Bacilli; Lactobacillales; Lactobacillaceae.
AACCUGCCCAAGAGAUCGGGAUAACACCUGGAAACAGAUGCUAAUACCGGAUAACAACAGAUGGUGCCUAUCAACUGUUUAAAAGAUGGUUCUGCUAUCACUCUUGGAUGGACCUGCGGUGCAUUAGAUAGUUGGUAGGGUAACGGCCUGCCAAGGCGAUGAUGCAUAGCCGAGUUGAGAGACUGAUCGGCCACAUUGGGACUGAGACACGGCCCAAACUCCUACGGGAGGCAGCAGGU